This 443-nucleotide ribosomal RNA is filed under the name uncultured bacterium. Its description in RNAcentral is "partial 16S ribosomal RNA". It matches the Rfam family "Bacterial small subunit ribosomal RNA", at positions 338 to 795 of the family's 1533-position model. The record is from RNAcentral.
CCUACGGGAGGCAGCAGUGGGGAAUAUUGGGCAAUGGGCGCAAGCCUGACCCAGCAACGCCGCGUGAAGGAAGAAGGCUUUCGGGUUGUAAACUUCUUUUGUCAGGGAAGAAUCGAAUACCGUACCCUGAGAAUAAACCACGGGCGACUUCGGUGCAAGAGGCGGGGGUAUUCCGGAGGUGGCAAGCGUUAUCCGGAUUUCCUGGGUGAAAAGGGCGUGUAGCCGGGUCGGCAAGUCAGAUGUGAAACCUACGGGCUAAACCGAUGACCUGCAUUUGAAACUGUAGUUCUUGAGUACUGGAGAGGCAGACGGAAUUCCUAGUGUAGCGGUGAAAUGCGUAGAUAUUAGGAGGAACACCAGUGGCGAAGGCGGUCUGCUGGACAGCAACUGACGGUGAGGCGCGAAAGCGUGGGGAGCAAACAGGAUUAGAUACCCGUGUAGUC